CUGUACAACCUCCUAGCUUUCC
RNAcentral lists this microRNA (22 nucleotides) under Callorhinchus milii (elephant shark). RNAcentral describes it as "Cmi-Let-7-P1d_3p* (star (passenger))". RNAcentral also lists the same sequence under 15 other names. The record is from RNAcentral. Lineage: Eukaryota; Metazoa; Chordata; Chondrichthyes; Chimaeriformes; Callorhinchidae.